Molecule: long non-coding RNA, 318 nt
Filed under: Linum usitatissimum (flax)
Lineage: Eukaryota; Viridiplantae; Streptophyta; Magnoliopsida; Malpighiales; Linaceae
Description: long non-coding RNA (LUSI_LNC002477)
Source: RNAcentral
AUCGGUAAAGAAAAAGGAGAAGAGGACACGAAGAAACUGACAAAGAGAAGAAGGUUAAGUAUUGUUUUGUCUUCUUCCUUUUGUAGUUUAAUUUAUUUCGAAGACAGAAGAGAAAGAGUCUGAUUUUCUAAGUGUAUUUGAGGUGAAUGAAGAAAGAAAACUCAGAUUCAACCUACCAGGGGAAAUCGAUCGAAAAAAAUGAAGAGGAGCCGCCUCUUCUUUCCCCUCCUUAUUUUCUCUUCUCUUCUUCUUCUGCUGCCGCCACCUCUUCUUUUCCCUCCUUCUUUUCUCUUCUCUUCUUCUUCUUCUCCGUCUUCC